AGUCACUCGCCGUUUAACGAUAAAAACAAACCUUUUGAAAACACUUUUCGGGUCAAAGAGUAUAAAGGCGUCAUUAAGAUACCACGAAGCAAACGGACUGGAAUAACAAUCUGGUGGGACUCGCAACGGGAAUCUAUGUUCCAACCGGAUCGGAGAAGACGGGACCGGUCAUCGAUGCGAACUUGAGACUUGCCUAAUCGUCGGACGAAAUGGCACGCGCAGGAACGAAAUAAUAUACACAUUACAGAUCUACGCUGGCGACUGUCUACUAGGUCGAAAACAACAACGUCAGAACGAGAUGUCGCCGUUCCGUCCGAGCAGCAACGAACGUGGAAGACUCUGGAAGGCUUCUUAUCAAUUAACUCUGACCUCUAAACUCCGGAUGAUCUCAUCGACAACGCCGUUCAGUUGAAUCUCUCAAUUCCGAUACACGGUUUUCGUCAAGUCGAACAUCGGAAUACUGUAAUCAAUAUGCCGAUUAAUUAAGUAAAGAUGAACGUAAAGAUGCGAAUAAAUGCAGAUUUCACGUGAAGUUUAACUGCGACGUGAAAUCGUGCUUUAUAAUAAUUUCUUAUUAAUUUCUCGUGUAAAUAGUAUAACAAUGAAAAAAACAUUGUACGAUUUAGAAGUGAUUUCUUAUUCAUUACUUAUUUUUAUUAUUAAAUUAAUCUAUUAGUCUGUC
Monomorium pharaonis (pharaoh ant) is the source of this 682-nucleotide long non-coding RNA. RefSeq lists it as uncharacterized. The transcript has 2 exons. The record is from RefSeq and is a predicted model, not a curated record. NCBI's taxonomy places the organism in Eukaryota, Metazoa, Arthropoda, Insecta, Hymenoptera, Formicidae.